AUUGAACGCUGGCGGCAUGCCUUACACAUGCAAGUCGAACGGUAACAGGUCUUCGGAUGCUGACGAGUGGCGAACGGGUGAGUAAUACAUCGGAACGUGCCCGAUCGUGGGGGAUAACGAAGCGAAAGCUUUGCUAAUACUGCAUACGAUCUACGGAUGAAAGCAGGGGACCGCAAGGCCUUGCGCGAACGGAGCGGCCGAUGGCAGAUUAGGUAGUUGGUGGGAUAAAAGCUUACCAAGCCGACGAUCUGUAGCUGGUCUGAGAGGACGACCAGCCACACUGGGACUGAGACACGGCCCAGACUCCUACGGGAGGCAGCAGUGGGGAAUUUUGGACAAUGGGCGAAAGCCUGAUCCAGCCAUGCCGCGUGCAGGAUGAAGGCCUUCGGGCUGUAAACUGCUUUUGUACGGAACGAAAAGACUCUGGUUAAUACCUGGGGUCCAUGACGGUACCGUAAGAAUAAGCACCGGCUAACUACGUGCCAGCAGCCGCGGUAAUACGUAGGGUGCAAGCGUUAAUCGGAAUUACUGGGCGUAAAGCGUGCGCAGGCGGUUAUAUAAGACAGAUGUGAAAUCCCCGGGCUCAACCUGGGAACUGCAUUUGUGACUGUAUAGCUAGAGUACGGCAGAGGGGGAUGGAAUUCCGCGUGUAGCAGUGAAAUGCGUAGAUAUGCGGAGGAACACCGAUGGCGAAGGCAAUCCCCUGGGCCUGUACUGACGCUCAUGCACGAAAGCGUGGGGAGCAAACAGG
This 751-nucleotide ribosomal RNA is filed under the name uncultured Comamonadaceae bacterium. RNAcentral's name for it is "bacterial SSU rRNA". It matches the Rfam family "Bacterial small subunit ribosomal RNA", at positions 28 to 776 of the family's 1533-position model. The record is from RNAcentral. Lineage: Bacteria; Pseudomonadati; Pseudomonadota; Betaproteobacteria; Burkholderiales; Comamonadaceae.